AUGUGACAUAUGUAAUUGUAAAGAAACUAUUGAACAUGUACUGUUCAGGUGGGGGGACUGGCAGGGUGAUAUGGGAAUGGAGUGGAGCACCAAAGGACUAUUACACAUAGGUGACAAACAAGUCAGGUUAAAAGGGAUUUAUUGACAUUUUUGGAUGAAGUGUGUUUAACAUAUUAUGAAGUCAGAUCCUUUUUAUUUGUACUAAAAUUAUUUUUGAAAAAUGCCAUAAAGCCUUGGUACACGGUACAGUCGGUUGCGGAAGGCACCUUAAAGGUUGGUUUGUAGUCUUCCAUUACAUUAAAGAAGAAGAAAGACGGAUUAAUCUCGGGAUUGUUUCGCACCAAGAGGAAAGUGGAAGUUUCCGCGCAGACCGUGAACGCAGCAGCAACAUCCACCGGAGCCGAGACAUCAGAAAGACGUCCGUCAUCUUAUUAGAAUCCAGACGAAAUUAAAAGCACGCAAGCCCGUGCGUCAAUGCUAUGGAAACCGGACCGAGGAUAUUUAAGGGCCGCGGACGUUCUGAUUCGUCCCUUUGCACUUUGGACUUCGACCUGAGCGGAACCCUGAGAACCCUCCCGAGAACCCAAACCUGCGAAGAAAACUAUUUGACUUUUGAACUGAGACUUUUUGUUAGAAACGAACAUUUUUGUUCGAACAGAACUGAGAUCACGACUAUCGAGAGCAUCAGAGACCCUGAGAAAGGCCUUCCGACGACUCCAGACCGACAACGAGCCCCUGCUGAAGGGACCGGGCUGUGACUUGGACCAUAACUGUGCAGCUGGUGUGAACUACAUCAUGGGGCGCCCUGCAAGAGACCCCAUCGGGAUCGCCUUAUUUGACGACGAAGGUAAUCAAGUUGAGGCUGAAAUUGUAUUUGAGUGACAGGCGGGUGGCAGUGGCGGUGGGUUCCCUCCCCAGGCAUUUAAUAACGCGAUAGAGGACGUCGACCUGGACCGUGUGGUACACUGGGGCCACUUGGACCACUGGGACGUGGACCACUUGCAAGGAUUUGAGGUCGAGGAAGAGGACUACAGAUUCUCCCCAAACAGAACACACUGGGAGUUGGAUGAGGACCUCGAUUCGGAUUGGAGCGCGGAAUGGAGCCCGGUUUGGAGCGACAACCAUGGUCUGCAGCCUCCACGUCAGGCCUCGGGUCCUCCACAAACAGAACACACUGGCAGUGGGAU
Molecule: long non-coding RNA, 1187 nt
Organism: Cyclopterus lumpus (lumpfish)
Lineage: Eukaryota; Metazoa; Chordata; Actinopteri; Perciformes; Cyclopteridae
Exons: 3
Source: RefSeq, a predicted model, not a curated record